Molecule: long non-coding RNA, 1565 nt
Organism: Gopherus evgoodei (Goodes thornscrub tortoise)
Lineage: Eukaryota; Metazoa; Chordata; Testudines; Testudinidae
Exons: 3
Source: RefSeq, a predicted model, not a curated record
CUUGCUGAAACAAGUGUGCUUGCUGUGAAAGUACAAAUGUUUGAGAACCACUGAGUUAGCAUUAAAAAAAAUUCUGAUCCACUCACUACACAUACAUCCCACUACUGCAACAUCUUAAAAAGAUACGUUAACUGCCAACAUUUGUGAAAUACUGCAGCUAUUUUACUAAAAUAUUCCUCUCACCAGUAAAAUAAUCCACCGCUAUACAAUCCUUUUACAAACACUACUUGGCAAGCUCUUAGCACCAAACACAACUGUUUAAGUCUUCAGCAAACUGGAUUUCUAACACAGGUAUUAUAUUAAAUCACAGAGAUUUUUGCAAGCGGUUGACAAGUGUGAAAUAAUUACAUCACAAAAAAAAUUACUUAACGGCAUAUGCCCUCCCCCAGUAAACAAAGUUCUUUGCUACAGUAAAUGUUUCACAUAGGAACCUGUCUAAGGGUGUGAAAAGAGUUGCCAAUUGCUCUGUACGUUAAUAUGCAUUACAAAUAGUUAUUCACAUUACAAUAUAAAACCACAGUGCACAUGUGCUAAUUCCUGCAGAGGGCUGCUACCUGGAUGCUGCUUUUUAAAACCAAAAUUUACUCUACUAGACUGAAGGACAGAUGAUUACUUUAUCUUGAGAUAACACUUCUGCUGUCAGACAUGCAAGAUCGACUAUCAUGCUGCAACUGGAACCACAAGAAAAAACAACUGUUUGCUAUGUGACAAGUUUAAGAUGAAGGGCAAAGCAAGACUCACACAACAUGACUCCAUAAUAAUUUCUUAUUAGGAAGUACUAUUCCCCCCUCUUGUGGAAAACUACAUCCCCUGCCUGUGGAUGACUCAGGGUUGUAUGAUGAAGGAGGCUGUUGUCUGUGGGACCCCUGCCUCACAGAACUGGAAGCAGUAGAGUGAAUGUGGCAGGGGAUUGCAGGAAGAGGAAGAAAAGUCUCAUGGUUAAGGCAGUUGAAUGCUGUCCUGGAAAAGUGGAUUCCAUAUUUGCCUUUGCCACAGAGUUCCUCUGUCACUUAAACCAAGCUUUCCGUAAGUGGCCACUAACUGUUUUCUUCAUGUUUUGGGGGCCAAACUUGAUACUCUGGGGUCUGAUUUGCUAAAGUGUGAUGAACAUGCACAACUGCAACCGAAGUUGAUAGGAGCAGUGCUUUGAGCAUAUAAAAUACUAAAUAAUGUAAUGUUAAGUACUUUAAGGGAAAAAAAAAUAGUCAGGCCCUUGACAUCUCAAGUUAGAACCCAACAUUGGUGGAAACUUUUGACCUUACUCUCUCUGUCUCAACUUCCCACAUGUAAACUAGAGAUAAUACCAUCCACUCACUGCACAGGGAUGUUGUGAAGAUAAAUUCAUGUUUGUGAAAAACUCAGAUACGAUAAUGAUAAAUGCCAUAGACCAGUGGUUUUCAAACUUGUUUUCUGGUGACACAGUUGAAGAAGAUUGAUGUGGCAAAGCAGGCAUGCUAAGGCAGGCUUCCUGCCUACCCUAGCACUGCAGACUGCGCUGCGCCCUGGAAGUGGCCAGCAGCAGAUCUGGCUCCUAGGCAGAGGCAUGCAAGCGGCUCUGUGAGGUU